This 73-nucleotide transfer RNA is filed under the name Felis catus (domestic cat). It matches the Rfam family "tRNA". From Rfam's summary of the family: Transfer RNA (tRNA) molecules are approximately 80 nucleotides in length. Their secondary structure includes four short double-helical elements and three loops (D, anti-codon, and T loops). RNAcentral also lists the same sequence under 3 other names. Lineage: Eukaryota; Metazoa; Chordata; Mammalia; Carnivora; Felidae. The record is from Rfam by way of RNAcentral.
ACCUGGCUGGCUCAGUCGGUAGAGCACGUGACUCUUGAUCUUGGGGUUGUGAGUGUGAGCCCCAUGUUGGGUG